Molecule: ribosomal RNA, 497 nt
Filed under: uncultured bacterium
Lineage: Bacteria
Description: partial 16S ribosomal RNA
Rfam family: Bacterial small subunit ribosomal RNA
Source: RNAcentral
GAUGAACGCUGGCGGCGUGCCUAAUACAUGCAAGUAGAACGCUGAAGGAAGGAGCUUGCUCUUUCCGGAUGAGUUGCGAACGGGUGAGUAACGCGUAGGUAACCUGCCUGGUAGCGGGGGAUAACUAUUGGAAACGAUAGCUAAUACCGCAUAACAGUAGAUGUUGCAUGAUAUCUACUUAAAAGGUGCAAUUGCACCACUACCAGAUGGACCUGCGUUGUAUUAGCUAGUUGGUGAGGUAACGGCUCACCAAGGCGACGAUACAUAGCCGACCUGAGAGGGUGAUCGGCCACACUGGGACUGAGACACGGCCCAGACUCCUACGGGAGGCAGCAGUAGGGAAUCUUCGGCAAUGGACGGAAGUCUGACCGAGCAACGCCGCGUGAGGGAAGAAGGUUUUCGAAUCGUAAAGCUCUGUUGUAAGAGAAGAACGAGUGUGAGAGUGGAAAGUUCACACUGUGACGGUAUCUUACCAGAAAGGGACGGCUAACUACGUG